UACUCCAUGGCAUUUUCAGUGCUUGUUACCUUGUUUUUCAUUGAUUUUCUAGCAACUAAGAAGGCCAUUAUAGAGGGGCAUUCAGCUGGUUCUCUUGUAGCAGCUGAGUCAUAUUUUGAAGCACCAGAACGUGUGGCUGCUCUAAUCCUUAUUUUUAUCACAAGAAAAUUUUGAGAACUAGCCAAGACUUAUCAUGUCAACCGGAUACAAGUGAUGGCGAUUAGAGUUGGGUUUUCAAUUUACAAAAUUAAUUCUUAUG
Molecule: long non-coding RNA, 259 nt
Organism: Rosa chinensis
Lineage: Eukaryota; Viridiplantae; Streptophyta; Magnoliopsida; Rosales; Rosaceae
Exons: 3
Source: RefSeq, a predicted model, not a curated record